CGGGCUUCAACUCACCUUCUUGUUAGAGACGACGAGCGUGCACGUGCGCGUCUUUAAUGCGUUAUUGUUUUAUAGCAAUAAGUUACGAGUAUUGUUUUGCAUAGCGAAUUUGAGUUUUUGUGAAGUAAGGCAAUCAGAUUGCAGAGAGAGGACCAUUCACGUUGGUCUACAUAUUGUCUCAGUGACAGAGCCAUUCGGGUGUGGUUCGCCGUUCGGGCGGAGAUUGAGAAAGAGAACGCAAGGUUCUCGUCGCGGAUUCUGGAUCUGCGAUUUUCAUACAGCCGUUCGGGCGAGGUCGGUCUGCCUGUUGGGCAGAGGGAGAGCGAACUCAAGGUUCUCUUCUCCUGGUAUUUUACUAUCUAACCAUAUAGCCGUUCGGGUGUAGACUGCUUUUUGGACAAGGAGAGAGAGAAAGAGAGAGAGCGCAAGGCUCUCGUCAAACCCGCUUACAUUUUGGUUAUACAUAGCCGGUUGGACAUAGGCCGCCAUUUUGGACAACCGGAGAUACAAGCGCAUGGAAUCAUUUAUCUGGCUACCUAUUAGCAUCAAUCCAAACACAAGGCUGCUGAUAUUAUCCGAGAGUUAACAGCGCUUUGUGACUAUUAAUUUUCUGUUUAUUUUCAGCGUUAUAUACAGGUAUUUUCUUGUUUCAUUGUUCUUACACCUCAACUCAUAAUACGAGAAGGCCGAGUCUCAUCUGGCAGUGCGGUACUAUUCCAGCAUUUCGAGGGUUGACUAUUGAAACCUGAGCAGUAUACGAUUCGCAUCUUACGGCAACUGAAGUUUACAGCCCUGCCCCUUUUUUUGGCACGAGAUUGCUGCAGAAUUAACUGAUUUAUUUUAGCAUACGAACAUAUUAACUAUAUUAAAUUUUUCAUAAUAAAUUCACUGUUUGUUAUUUGAAUUUAUCCGUUGAGUUAUAACUAUCAUUUCAUAGUUAACCCACUAACUAUUUUAAACGUCGAGUUCUAACAGUUUCUAAAUGGUUUUGAGACAUUUUGUAUGUUAGUAAAAAGGUCAUGUAAUUUUCUGAAAACAAAGAUUCAGCCAAAAAGAUCACGCUUUUUAAACAUAUUAUUAAUCCUAGAAAAUCUGUUUUAUUUUUAGUCUGAAUUAUUGGUGUUGUAUCUAUUUUUAAUUUUGCAAUGUAUUCAAUAAAACUUUCCGUUUUCACUUUUAUGUCUUGCAAAUGUUCUACAGAAGUUGCUCGUUGGGUAUGAUUUUUUGUCAGACAAUUUCUUGUUAAGCAGAUCGAAUACAUUAUUUAUUAUUUGACAAAACUUUGCCGUUGGUGUUGCACCUUGAAAUUGUAUUAAUUUCAAAUCUUUUUCACAGGUGUUUAGAGCGUUUGCAACGCUACAACUAAAGAUCUGAGCAGCUAGUCGAACUUUCAUUUUUUUCAUAGUGAAAAUGAAUGUGAUUGCGACGAAUUUUAGUCAUGCUAAAUGAAGCCCCAUCUUCUUGUUUUUCACAAGUAACGUGAAGAUGUUCAAAAUGAGUUAUUAACUCAUCUGGAGAAGUUGAAAUUUUUGCUCCAAGUUGUUCCACCAUAGAAAUAUUUGUAGCUGCCCCAUCAAAAGUAACAUUACAAAUUGGAAUUCCAUAAGAAUUUGCAACGUGCAAUAUUUCACUUAAAAUAUUACUUUUUUCUUUGCCCGAUAAUGUAUAGAUAAAGUAAUAAGCGACCACAAUUUUAAAAUAUGAAUUGAUGCCUACUAACAUGAAUACAAGAACAUUUGUAGCUUCUGUAUUGUUAUUACAGUCAUUGGUAUUAUCUCCAAUAUCAAUAUAUCCCUGUAAUUUUUUUCCAUCAAACUCUAUUAGUUUUCUAAUUGCCAUUUCAUCGCAUAUUAAAGAAAAAUAUAAUUUUUUACUUUCAGCUUCGGCAUUUUUACAUAAUUCAGACACAUGCUUCAUCGCAUCAAUUGAAAUUCCCUGUUUAUUAUUAACUGUACUUAAUCACUUUCGAAUUGUGUUCUGAUGCGAAAAAACAUUUAUUAAUGUUUUCCUUACGUAAUCAUAGGCUGUUGGCGAGUAAAAAUGCAAUGUGCAGGCAAAUUGUUUUAGUUCGUUUGGAAAUUGAUCCUUCUUUUGAUGUAGAAGUUUUCCUAUUAACUGUUCAGUUAUGGGGGAAUUUAUUUUCUGUGGAAAUGUGAAAAAAUUGCAAAUUAAGAUC
Molecule: long non-coding RNA, 2176 nt
Organism: Solenopsis invicta (red fire ant)
Lineage: Eukaryota; Metazoa; Arthropoda; Insecta; Hymenoptera; Formicidae
Exons: 2
Source: RefSeq, a predicted model, not a curated record